CCUACGUGCGGCAGCAGUGAGGAAUAUUGGUCAAUGGGCGCGAGCCUGAACCAGCCAAGUAGCGUGAAGGAUGACUGCCCUACGGGUUGUAAACUUCUUUUAUAAAGGAAUAAAGUGAGGCACGUGUGCCUUUUUGUAUGUACUUUAUGAAUAAGGAUCGGCUAACUCCGUGCCAGCAGCCGCGGUAAUACGGAGGAUCCGAGCGUUAUCCGGAUUUAUUGGGUGUAAAGGGAGCGUAGAUGGGUUGUUAAGUCAGUUGUGAAAGUUUGCGGCUCAACCGUAAAAUUGCAAUUGAUACUGGCAGUCUUGAGUACAGUUGAGGUAGGCGGAAUUCGUGGUGUAGCGGUGAAAUGCGUAGAUAUCACGAAGAACUCCGAUUGCGAAGGCAGCUUACUAAACUGCCACUGACAUUGAUGCUCGAAAGUGUGGGUAUCAAACAGGAUUAGAUACCCUUGUAGUC
RNAcentral lists this ribosomal RNA (460 nucleotides) under uncultured bacterium. RNAcentral's name for it is "partial 16S ribosomal RNA". It matches the Rfam family "Bacterial small subunit ribosomal RNA", at positions 338 to 795 of the family's 1533-position model. The record is from RNAcentral.